UUAAAAUCAUGACUAGAAUAUGAAGCUAGUGGGAUGAAAGAGAAUGGAAUUUUCUCUUUUCCUUUCUAAAUUCGGUAAAGAAACAAGCAAAGGAGAAAAGGGUUUUGGUUAUUUGGAUCCAAAAUUAACAAUCCAGCCAAAGGCGACGCUGGAACGUCAAAGGCGAAGGAAAAGGAAAAGACGGACGUCGUAUAGCUUUAGUGGUGUAUGCUUCUAUAAUUCAAUUUUAAUUUGCUUUCACAGAUUAAUUAGUCGUUAUAAUCAAUAUGACAAUGCAUCGAGGUAAUGGUAUCUUUCCCUUAUAAACUUCGAAUGAUAGACUCGACUGGUGAUAUUGAAAUAAAUGAUAAAUUGUUUGAGACUAUUUUGGA
Molecule: long non-coding RNA, 371 nt
Organism: Gossypium arboreum
Lineage: Eukaryota; Viridiplantae; Streptophyta; Magnoliopsida; Malvales; Malvaceae
Exons: 2
Source: RefSeq, a predicted model, not a curated record